AACGCUAGCUACAGGCUUAACACAUGCAAGUCGAGGGGCAGCAUGGUCUUAGCUUGCUAAGACUGAUGGCGACCGGCGCACGGGUGAGUAACACGUAUCCAACCUGCCGUCUACUCUUGGACAGCCUUCUGAAAGGAAGAUUAAUACAAGAUGGCAUCAUGAGUCCGCAUGUUCACAUGAUUAAAGGUAUUCCGGUAGACGAUGGGGAUGCGUUCCAUUAGAUAGUAGGCGGGGUAACGGCCCACCUAGUCUUCGAUGGAUAGGGGUUCUGAGAGGAAGGUCCCCCACAUUGGAACUGAGACACGGUCCAAACUCCUACGGGAGGCAGCAGUGAGGAAUAUUGGUCAAUGGGCGAGAGCCUGAACCAGCCAAGUAGCGUGAAGGAUGACUGCCCUAUGGGUUGUAAACUUCUUUUAUAAAGGAAUAAAGUCGGGUAUGGAUACCCGUUUGCAUGUACUUUAUGAAUAAGGAUCGGCUAACUCCGUGCCAGCAGCCGCGGUAAUACGGAGGAUCCGAGCGUUAUCCGGAUUUAUUGGGUUUAAAGGGAGCGUAGAUGGAUGUUUAAGUCAGUUGUGAAAGUUUGCGGCUCAACCGUAAAAUUGCAGUUGAUACUGGAUAUCUUGAGUGCAGUUGAGGCAGGCGGAAUUCGUGGUGUAGCGGUGAAAUGCUUAGAUAUCACGAAGAACUCCGAUUG
RNAcentral lists this ribosomal RNA (694 nucleotides) under uncultured bacterium. RNAcentral's name for it is "bacterial SSU rRNA". It matches the Rfam family "Bacterial small subunit ribosomal RNA", at positions 32 to 715 of the family's 1533-position model. The record is from RNAcentral.